This is a small nucleolar RNA of Dunckerocampus dactyliophorus (ringed pipefish), 186 nucleotides long. RefSeq annotates it as small nucleolar RNA SNORD17. The transcript has a single exon. The record is from RefSeq and is a predicted model, not a curated record. Lineage: Eukaryota; Metazoa; Chordata; Actinopteri; Syngnathiformes; Syngnathidae.
GUGACAUGAUGAAUUUGUUUAUCCAUUCGCUGAGCGGCAUCCAGUGGAGCCCAGUCUUUGUUCCUGUUCUGGGGACGGAGCCUCUGCACUUCAGGGCGUUUUUGGCGUUCUGCCGAAAAACACUUGAAUUGUAUGAGUUGAGGGCUCAACUGGCGGCUGCAGAGACGACCGGAACAUUCUGAUCAC